CUAACAAGGAUUCCCCCAGUAACGGCGAGUGAAGCGGAAGAGCUCAAGCUUAAAAUCUCCAUGUUUUACAUGGCGAAUUGUAGUCUAUUGAGGCUGUUGUCAGCAUAGCGAUUUGGGAUAAGUCCCUUGGAAAAGGGCAGCACAGAGGGUGAUACUCCCGUCUUUGCUCAGAUUGUCUAUGUGUACGAUACGCUUUCUUUGAGUCGAGUUGUUUGGGAAUACAGCUCAAAGUAGGUGGUAAAUUCCAUCUAAAGCUAAAUAUUGGUGCGAGACCGAUAGCGAACAAGUACCGUGAGGGAAAGAUGAAAAGAACUUUGAAAAGAGAGUUAAAGAGUACCUGAAACUGUUGAAAGGGAACCGUAACAUGUCCAGUGUUGUAUCUUGUGCAUAUUUCAUUAGUGGAGUAAUUUACUGGUGCCCUGUGCAUGAGUGUGACGUCAAAGUCAGUUUGUAUGCUGCGGGAGAUGGUUAGCAAGGAGGUGCGUCACUUUGUGUCAGUUAUACCUUGUUAUCUAGUAGCCGUGGUUGAGACUGAGGUGCCUACAACAUGCUUAUAGAGUAUAUUGUUGUCUCGUUAUUAUAUCUGUUUGGAUAGCUUGCUAUGCUGGUGGACUAUAGUGGCGAUUGAUGAUGGUAUUAACUUUUUGCUGUUCGGGACU
Molecule: ribosomal RNA, 659 nt
Filed under: Achlya klebsiana
Lineage: Eukaryota; Oomycota; Saprolegniomycetes; Saprolegniales; Achlyaceae
Description: LSU rRNA
Rfam family: Eukaryotic large subunit ribosomal RNA
Source: RNAcentral